UUAUGGCUCAGGAUGAACGCUAGCUACAGGCUUAACACAUGCAAGUCGAGGGGCAGCAUAUCGAAGCUUGCUUGAUAGAUGGCGACCGGCGCACGGGUGAGUAACGCGUAUCCAACCUUCCCAUCACUCAGGGAUAGCCCGCCGAAAGGCGAAUUAAUACCUGAUGGUCUCCUUUGCGGACAUCUAACGAGGAGUAAAGAUUUAUUGGUGAUGGAUGGGGAUGCGUCUGAUUAGGUAGUAGGCGGGGUAACGGCCCACCUAGCCGACGAUCAGUAGGGGUUCUGAGAGGAAGGUCCCCCACAUUGGAACUGAGACACGGUCCAAACUCCUACGGGAGGCAGCAGUGAGGAAUAUUGGUCAAUGGGCGAGAGCCUGAACCAGCCAAGUAAGCGUGCAGGAAGACGGCCCUAUGGGUUGUAAACUGCUUUUAUACAGGGAUAAAGUCGGGGACGCGUUCCCCGUUUGCAGGUACUGUAUGAAUAAGGACCGGCUAAUUCCGUGCCAGCCGCGGC
Molecule: ribosomal RNA, 512 nt
Filed under: uncultured bacterium
Lineage: Bacteria
Description: bacterial SSU rRNA
Rfam family: Bacterial small subunit ribosomal RNA
Source: RNAcentral